Long non-coding RNA from Salvia hispanica, 1016 nucleotides. RefSeq lists it as uncharacterized. The record is from RefSeq and is a predicted model, not a curated record. Lineage: Eukaryota; Viridiplantae; Streptophyta; Magnoliopsida; Lamiales; Lamiaceae.
CUGGAUCCGCCGCUGCUCUCAGCCAACUGUCAAUAAAAAAACCUCAACUCACUACACUUUGGAACUAGUAUAGAGAAAGAAAUUAACGAAGGUAGAGUUUAGAGGACUUGGGAAUAGGAACGAAGGUAGAGUUUAGAGGACUUGGGAAUGGGUUCGCUGCUGCCACGCAAACUUGGGUUGAGAAUUUUAACUACUAGACUUGGAAAAUUGUAGAAUUAUCUAACAGCUAGAUCUAAGAAACGGAAAAUACAAUGCAAGCAUGCAUGAUGAAAUAGAGAUCAGACAGAGAGUAAAACUAAAAAACUGAAAUUUACUAGACCUAGUGAAUGGACUUCCUAAAAACAGCUAGACAGAAGAAAAACAUGCAGUGGGGACUAUUUUCCCAAAACAUAAAUAGUACGGAUGAAAAGCUGCAACAACGAAAAUCUGGCUCUAAUUAACAACGACCUUCAUCUCUUCCAACAAUCUAAGCGUAAACAUGUAGAAAACAGAGCAACAAACUAGAUCGGAACAGAGCAUACCUAUUCGUCUUGAAGAGAACUGUGGGAAUAGGCAGAGGAUUGAGGAUGUGUAUGAGAGGGCAAUAGCAAAUCUGCCUCCUGCUCAGGAGAAGCGAUACAUAUACAUGUGGUAAGAAUGCUUUAACCUUACAUAAGCAUGCCCGUAUUGUAUGUUGAUCAAAGGGCUUGGCUGAGAUUCAUAUCUGUUUUGAAUUUGUGAUAUUUUGAGAAUUAAUUAUGUUUUGUAUGAGGAGCUUGAUGCCCAGGAUGUUGACCGAACAAGAGACAUAUAUAAUUAUGAGGAGUAUAUAGACUACCUAUUCCCAGUAGAAACACAGACCACCAAUCUCAAAAUUUUGGAAAGAAGCAGAAGGCCAUUUGAUCUUGUUGUUAAUAUUGUCUUUGACAUUUCUGUAUGUAUGUAUAGCAAUUUGCCGAUGUACUAAGCUGCAAACACGAAAUUUGAAAUUAACCAUUGAUAUGGGAAAAUAGGAAAGUACCUCAACUUUAUCUCUA